CCAGCAGCCGCGGUAAUUCCAGCUCCAAUAGUGUAUCUUAACGUUGUUGCAGUUAAAAAGCUCGUAGUUGAAUUUCUUGUUGGGGGUCCUAUGCAACUCGCUUGGACUCCCUUCAAUCCGCUAGCGGAACACGGAGGGCUAUUUGUUUAGCGGCCGUGGGAAGUAGCAUUUUACUUUGAAGAAAUUAGAGUGUUCCAGGCAGGCUUUGCUUGAAUACAUCAGCAUGGAAUAAUGGAAUAGGACAUCUCCUAUAUCUUGGUGUAUGGGAGUGUAAUGAUUAACAGGGACAGUUGGGGGCAUUCGUACUCUUUUGUCAGAGGUGAAAUUCAUGGAUUAGAAGAAGA
Molecule: ribosomal RNA, 344 nt
Filed under: uncultured eukaryote
Lineage: Eukaryota
Description: SSU rRNA
Rfam family: Eukaryotic small subunit ribosomal RNA
Source: RNAcentral